GAAGAGAAGGUGUGUGCGCGUGAGAGGAGUCAACAUCGAGAGAACGUGUUUGUUCAAGAGACACCGAGGAAGACUACUAUAUAUCGAUGGUGCAUGUAGGCGGGAAUUGAACAAAGGGAUGGUCUUAUUGGUUUCGGGGAUAUAGGGGAAAGGUGAGAGGCGGGGGGUAGCUAGAAGGAGAUUGUUAAGUGUGAGUGUGUGUUUUACCCAUCCAGGCGGAAGUUAUGUGCACAAAAGAGGAGAACGAUUCGAUGUGGCGUUAGGAUUGAGGGUAAUUAACUACGUAUGGAGACAUAGAGACCUUGAACGUGCAUGUGUGAGAGGUAUACAUGUAUACGUGGGAUGUGUGUGUGCGCGCGCGCAUGAUCGAGAUAAAAGAAAGAAGACAUAAGUCAUAAGAUCAACGGCAUGGGAGAGACGGAUCGGUAUGACAAUAUGCAUGCAUGUGAGAAUGCAGGGAAGAAGGCCCGACAAUUGAGCAUGUGUUUUUGUCUUUAAGAGAUAGUGGCGUGGGCUGGAGCAUGCAUCUAUGGCGAGCAGAGGGAGUGAGGCGCAACGAUUGUGCAAAAGAGACCAACCUAUAAAUGCAUAUGUAUGGAGAGACAUAUAUAGUGUGGGUGAUAGGAAGCAAGACUCCGUGCGAGAAAGAAAUGUCGGCGGAGAAACUACAGAUAGAUACAGAGAUGGAGAUGCUAGCUAGAGGGACAUCCGCUAGUUUGGGUGUUGGAGAUGACCGUCGGGUGGUUCAAAGGGUGAAGUUAUAUAUGUGUGUGAGAGGGCACUUGACUGCAUGUAGAGAGAAACAUAUGUAGUGUGCGUGAUAGGAAUCAAGAGUGAGGGCGAGAAAGAAGGUUGAUGGAGAAACAGAUAAAUAGAAAGAUAAAGAUGCUAGCUAGUGUGCGUUAGAGAUAGGAGUCGAGUGGAUCAGAAGGUUGGGUUAUGUGUGUGGGUGUGAGAGAGAUAGAGAGAGGGUGCAUGUGAGUCACAUACAAACAGAUAUCAGAGAGAAAUGAGAUCCAGAGAGACGGAGUUUUGUGUUUGCGAGAGAGAAGGAUAUUUUACAACGAGAGUGAUAGCUAGAGAGACAUACGAGGGAACGCAAGAUAUCUCUAGGGAGAGAGGGUGUGUGUGAGCGACAUACAAGAGAACAAUGGAGAAAUAUGAGACCCUGGGAGACAGAGUUUGUGUUUGUGUGUGAGAAAGAGACAUUGAAGAGGAAAGAGUGGUAGGUUAUCAUAUCUAAGGAGCGAAAGAAAUCUCUGUAUGAGGGGUGUGCGAGUGGCACACAUGGGAAUAGUAGAGAGAAAUGAGACCCCGGGAGACAAAGUUUUGUGUUUGUGUGAGAGAAAGAGAUUCCACAUGGAGAAUCAUAGUUACAGACACAUAGCAGGGAGCGAGAUAUACUUAGAGAGAGAUAGAGUGAUGAAGGUCGAGGGAGAGAGUACCGUCAGUGUGUUACGAAGAUAAAAGAUCAUUGUCGACAUACAGGUAGCACGAGAGAUACCUGAGAGACGAUGAACGCGUAUAGGUCCAGAGAGAUAGUCCUAUAUAAGCAUGAGUGAUAGCUAUAUGAGACGAAUAUCUGGAUUAAAGGGGAUUCAAAUAUUUAAACUAGAGAUCACGACAUCGAUAAUAUCAUAACGCAAAUUGGUGUAUCAAACAUGCAUAUUCAUUUGAAUUUGGGCACACGUGUAAUGUUAUAUAGUUUAUCAAUAUUGGUGAUCCAUAGAUUCUUCAAUUACAAACAAUGCAUGGUUAUAUGCAAUUAAUGUAUAAACGGGAUUACACUAUAUGUUGCAUGUGUGAAACACAUUAUACAUGUUUGAUAAGUAAAAAAACCCACAUGAAACACACAUUAAUUGGAGACAGUUAGCGAGGAAUGCAUACAUUGGAUUUCAACAUAAAGUGGUUUCAAAUAUUUGAAAAUCCAAAUUGAUGGAUACAACCUUAUGAAUCUGAGAUCAUGCCAUUUGUAAACCAUAUUUAUGUAUAAAUGGUGUUGUGCUUUUGAAAGUAUAUAUAAAAAAAGAUGUAUAUAGAAUGUAAUUCCAAUUGAAAAUGGAUCCCGCCCGAAAAAAAUAGAAUACAAACAGGAUUCGAAUUGAGUUGGCAUGGUAAACGUGCACUCUGCAAAAUUUGAACGAAGCGGGGAAAGUCGCAGUAACCGCCCGAAACCAAAAUCUGCGAGAUGGAAAUCACUACUGCCUAUCCCUGCCACGCAAAGCCUAUCUGCUGGAUUUCUAUAGGUUUCGAUAGGGGUAGGUUUGUAAUUUCACCCAAACGUGACGUAACCGCCUCUCACCCGGAUUCAUACAUGGUGGGCGCCAAAACACAGUGUGUCAUCGGCCGAAAUCGACUCCCUCCCCGAUUCAUAUUCAUACACGGUGGGCGCCAAAAACAAACUCUCGUCAGCAAAUAUUCGGUGUAUGCGAGAUUACCGUCCUAUCCCCAACCGACUAAUGUUGCUGUGAUGUAGUAGAAAUUUGAAACGGGGGCUAAGUUUGUAAAUUUCCUCGCAUUUGAGACAAGCAUGCCCUAAAUACAUGGUUCCCCCCUUCCUCUCUACCUCCCUUUUCCCCAUUCGUACUCCGUGGGCGCCAAAACACCCUCUCCACCCCACCCUCCUCCGUCCGCCGCCGUCCGCCACCCCAUCCACCGCCGUCCUCCUCCACCAUGCCGGAGCUGAUACCCCGACGCCGCUGUCCAUUACAAGAGAUCGACCUCUCUCAUCCACGGCUUCGGACCAGGAUCCUUGCAUCCCGUCCUCUCGCUUCAUCCCCGCCGUCGUCCACCUUGCCGGCGCCGCUCCUACAACCGUCUUGUCCACCGCGCCCCGCCGCCACCGUCUACCCUCCUAGAUCUGCUUCCACGCCGCCGACAGCCAUCGCUACCGCAGCACCGUCAAAUUCUCAGCAGAUGCGUACACGGCGCCGCACCAGAGGCGGUAAGCUUUCGUAUCUGCUCAACUUAUUUAUCGCAGCAAGAAAAUAGAUCGCCACUGCUUUACUCUGAUUUCUUGUCUUGGUUGCGAAGUUGCCUUUGUCCGGUUUGCACCUUCAGAUCCGCCAUGGCACGCUCAACACUAUACUCCCAAUGCUUAUGGUUUUCCCCUUUUAUAUUCCACACUAGUUAAAUCACAGUAGACUAAAUUUCAAAAUUGGGUCAGUCGAUUUUUCAGAGCUCGCCGGAGUUCGCCGGUGCGAACGAAGGGGCUCGGGUGGUUGUGGGGCCUCGCCGAACGAAGCUCGACGCGGGUGGGGGUUGGGACGGGGGUGGGGAGUGGGGUUGGCGGAGGAACACAGGCAGCGGGGGCCGGUGGUCCGGCCGGCAGCCCGUGCGGUGUUCUGUAUGGGAAGAAUCAGAGACGAGGAAGAAGAUGGGUUAGAAGACGUAGGAUCUUCAUCCAACCACCUGAAAUGGUCGAGAGACAACUGGGAGUUGCAUUCUUAAUGCGCUCUGGUUCAUCAUGUGUGGGCACUGCGCAACCAGCAUUUUAUUAUCCAAAAUCUGCUUGCUCUUCUUUACCAUGUUCCUCUUCCGUUCUUCUUUAAUAUGUACUCUCUCCGUUCCUAAAUACAAGUCUUUGUAUAGAUUCCACCAUGGACUACAUAUGGAGCAAAAUGAGUGAAUCUACACUCUAAAAUGUGUGAUCCAUAGUGGAAAUCUCUACCAAGACUUAUAUUUUGGAACGGAGGGAGUAUGAUAGUGGUACAGUAUGUUCCUUGUACUGAAGAUGAGCAGGGACUUUUGCAGUGUAGAGGUCUAUACGGUCGGUUGUGAUGGACACUUUGAGCCUCUUUGAUUCUUAGAAUCUUAUAAACAUAGGAAUAGGAUUUGUAGUCACCUGCCCACUUGAAUCCUAUAAGAAUAGCAAGGAAAUGCGGGGAGCUGUGUCGCCUUUGAGAGUAACACUGAUAUUAACAGUACCGCACCUUCACUUGAAGAGAGCUGGUAUCCGAAGCCUUUCUAGCCGUACUGGCAAUACUAGCACAUAUAUUCCAGCAAGUUCCACUUUGCUGAUUUUACUCUGAUGCUUACGGUUUUCCUCGUUAUAUCUACACUAUGAUCUGUGUAGCUGCUUUGUGUCGCACUAGCAGCAGUCCACUCUUGAAGCUAAACACUGCAGUGACUUACAAAAUUGGCACCAAGGCAUUGAGUGCCAUUCUGGAUGCAAUGAAACUCAUAUGCUCCCCACCUGUUGAUUCUUGUUCAGAAUAUGAUCCUAAUGACUCUUGUUCAAAAUUGCCACAUAUAGAGAGACAGCAUGGAAUUGCAUUUCUUUGGGCGCUGUGAUUCAUCAUGAGUGGGCAACCAACAUUGUAUGCAAUGAAGCGGAACCUCAAGAAUAUGCUUCCUCUUCUGUUCUUUAACAUGUUCCUCUUUGUUUAUUCUGUAUUUAGUACGUACAGUAUGUUCCUUGUCAGGAAGGGGCGCAGGGACAUCUGCAGUCAACAGCUGAUAGAGCUGGCAUGCACGUGAUCGAUAGGCUUUCAAUUACUAGUGGCAAUACAACACCGUAUUUUCAAGCCAGUUCCACUUUCCCGAUUUAUAUAUCGUGGUUAUGGUGUACCCCUGUUAUGUACACUAUGAUAUGCCUAUUUGUUGUGUGCUCUUGUUAUCAUGGUUUGGCAAUAAACUCUCUAUAUAGUAUAUUAUGAACCUAUCAUCUGCCAGCUAUCCUUACUUCUAGAGCCUAUUUUUUGUGUACUUGUGCCAGAUUAUAUAAAUGCACGCACCAUAUUACAGCACACAUGAGCUCUCUCAUCAAAAUCCAGUGAUAGCACACAAGUGUUUACAGGGGCGCCCCUAUAUUAGAAUAUCAUCUGCAUUACAAAGAUAAUCUCACAACUAUUUAUGUUUUCAUGGUUCUCAGAUAUUAUACGCAAUUACAGUGAAUAUCAGAAUCCGCGCAUCAGAAGAAUAUUGUGGCACACUGCAAUGACUUACAAAAUUAGCACCAAGGCAUUGAGUGCCAUUCUGGAAGCAAUGAAACUCAUACGCUCCGCACCUGUUGAUUCUUGUUUAGAAUAUCAUCCUAAUGACUAUUCUAACCUCGAGGAGACAAAGGCAGAUGGCCUGUCCUAUUCACCCAUCAAGGUGCCUGUUCUAAUUUGGCAAGGUUUUAUUGAUUGCGCGUAUCUUGCAUAUUUUGUCUUGCAUUUCUUCUACUUUGUUCCACCGCCAUCUGCUUAGUUUACUCAUCAUAUAACUCGAGAUGCCAUGCCCAUCCAUUAUCAAUACAUAUUCCAUCUGUCAUCAUACCAUGUUUUUCCACUCAAAUGUUGUCCUUGUGCAUCAGACAUCAAAAAGGAAGAGGGUGAUUGCCGAACCUGAAGGAGCACCAACAAAGUCCUUGAAAAACGUGGUGGUGCCGGAGAAAUCAGACAGCGCCCCACUUAUAUUGGCUGUACAACCAGUGACACUAAACGUAGGACCGACUCCGGCAGACUGUACCCAUACUUCACUGGCCACACCACUAGCCCCACCACACAGGACCUGCACUCCAGGAAAAGGUAUACCGAUUUCAUUUGCCAUAGCACCAGCUGUACCACAGAAAAAUCCCACUCCAGCAAAAAGUACAGCAAGUCCACUGGCCGAAGACCUAUCCCAACUGCAGAGACGGACAAUUCCUGCAGAUUGGAACCCCAUUCCCUUUAUUCCCAGUUUAAAAGACAAUGCUUUCAAUGUUGUUAGGGACUACGUGCAUAUAUUCCCAUCAUGGGAAGAUUAUAGUGAAGACAAACACCAUUUUCACAUCUUCCUGUCCAACUUACGUGUAAGUGCUAUUAUUCAUGGUUAUUAUUUUCUUGUUUUCUGCUGAUCGAACACAUCAAUGAUUUACAUUACAUUGUUGUAACUAGGCGAGGGUCAAUCUGGAUAGUCAUGACGAGCAAAGCUUGCUUGUGCUUUUCAAGGAAGCAUUGCAGCAGUAUCGGUGUUACCUGAGGAAAUCACACUUUGAUGGCAAGUCUAUAAACGAAUUUUCGGUGAAGUCUCCUGUGCUAAAUUUAGAAGACAUUGAAUGGAAAAACCUUGUUAUGCACUGGUCUCGUUCCCAGGAUGAGGUACUGUCUAUGAAAUCAAAUGACAAUUUGAACUUCUACUUUUCCGCAUGUGCCUUACGGAUCUUUUUUGUAGGAAAUCUGCUCGAAGAAGAAUUCUGGUUUGAAAAGAACGACAGGAUAUCGCAAAUAUGCUGCCCGUUGUUUUGCUCUUGUUAGUACCUAUUGUCCUGUAUCACUGUACUUGCAUACAUACCUUGUUCAUUAUGUGACAGCGGUAUGCAUGAUAGCUUGCUUAUCAAUUGUUCGCUCCAAAUUAUCUGAUCUGUAUGAAUGGUUACAUUAGUGUAGAAUAUAUCUAAUGCCAAUGAUUUUUUUAGCUCUGCAUUGUUCUUGUAAGUACAUGUUGUCCUUUAUCAGUGUACUUAUAUUGACAGGUAGUUGUUCAUGUACCAUCACUCUGCAGCUUAUUUUCCUUUGCCCUCCAUUUUCUACACAUCCGAUCUAUAUUUACUCUUACCAUAAGGUUGGUACUGAAGAAGUUUAGCUGUGCAUUGCUCUUGGCUGUGCCUUUUGCCUGUAUCGCUGCACAUACAUUUAUAGCUACUUGGUUAUGUAGCAUCACUCUUCAUCUUAUCUUAAAUAUUCUCCAUUUUUCGUAUAUUAUCACAUCUAUAUUUACUCUUAACAAAAUGGAAUAAAGGCAAUGCUUAUGAAGAAGAUUCUGUGGUAAACUUCUUGAAUUGCCCCCCCAUCAGCAUGGACAAGGGCUUUAUAGAGCCUGUCUUCACCAGUAAUGUAAGUUUGUCCUUCUCAAGCCUUCAAACUUUGUUGUGUAUAUUUGGUUAGGCAUGACUGCAACAGCUGUUUAUUUUUGGUGUUUGCAUCAAAUUGCAUGUUUAAAGUUUAUUAUGUAGUUCAUAAACAAAAGUUUGUCCUUCUCAAUUUAAGUUUUCAGUUGUACAACCAAAUUCCUUCUUCAUACCAUGUAAAUUAAACUAUACAGAGCAAGUGAUCUUCUUUUGCACUGCAUGUAUGCUUCUAUUCUUCAUCCGUAAUCCAGUGGUGUGGUGAACCUACCCACUACAACACAAUGUCAUUUUCUGCAAUGUCUUAACUAUGAACAAUGUCAUAUCAUUCUACUAUUAUUUAAACCGUCUCUUUAUUUGCCAAUCUGAAAUGGGAGAAAUUGACAGCACACUAACCAUUGAUACUUAUGAGUUCUUGAUCUGUAAUCCAAUGGUGUCGUGAAGCUGCCAACUCCUUCACAAUGUCAUUUCCUGCCAUGUCUUGAACUGAACAAUACCAUAUUGUGUUAAUGCAAUUUUAAACUGUGUCACUUUAUUCGUCAGUAAGAAAUGUGAUGAAUUGUCAGCACUGAUACUUUUAUGUGCAAAACAUGUCAUCUGUCUGCUUGUUUAUCUUUCAGAGUGAGGAAGAUAUAAGUGUUGAACAAGCGCAGUCUCAUCAUCUUGCUCAGGUGGUUGCGCUGCAGCUCGCCAGCAGGGCUAACCUUUCUAGAACUCUAUUGAAGUGUUGUCGGUUUUGUAUAUUAUUUUGUCGACGUGUUUAUUUGCACUGGUGGUGAUCUUUGAUGCCCAGUGUAUGUAAUCUGUUGUCUGCUUGUGCUUUAUUAUCAUAGUGGCGAACUUUGAUGCCCAGUGGAUGUAAUAUGCCGUAAUUUCUUUAUUGUAUAGUCUAGGUUUUUUCUUAUUCACGAUGCUGCAGUUAUUUUACUGUAUAUAUAUAUCCUGUCUUCGUAGUAAACCGGCCAAACCGUAAAAUUACGGUACAUAAUCGGGCUGUCAUGCAAUCACGAUGUAUGAUCCGCAUCAUGGGCCUCGUCAAACUGGCCCACUAGUAGAUUCGGGCCUUUAAUAGGCCGAGUAACCCCCGGCCCUCUUUUCGCAAGAAAACUCAAUGGGCUUUUAGGAGGCUGAGAAGUAGGUUGGGCCAGAAACGUGCCGAACAGCUCACGGGCCGGCAGCAGCCCGAAAUGGACCCCGGCCCAUGAUUGUGCGAAUCAAAUCACGGGCUUUUAACAGGCUAAAAUUGUCUCGGUCCUUGUUAUGCCCAACCAGAUAUCGGCUGCGAGCAGGCCGGAUGCAAACCGGGUCGUAGUUAGGCCCAACUAUAUGACGGGCUUUUAACAGACCGAAAUUAAUAUAGGGCCAAAAUGUUAAACGGGCCCUUAAUAGGCCGAAACUAAUAUCAGGCCGAAUUACUAAAUGGGCCUUUAGCAAGUGGGCCCAAAAGCAUAGCGUCCAGUUAACGGGCCCAAUCUGAUAUGGGCCAUAAUUGAGGCCAAAGCCUCUUAAAGGGCUGGACCUGAUCUGGGCCGUGAUUUGGCCCAGAACGUGGGAGGCUUUUAACGGGCCGGAUCUCAUAUGGGCCAUUAUUAGGCCUGGAACAUGGCAGGCCAUUAAUGGACCGGAUCAAAUAUGGGCCGGCAUUUAGCCCAAAACAUGGCAGCCAAUUAAUGGGCCGGCCUACUAGGGUCCUCAAAAUCUUGUGGGCCUAUAGCUAGGCCGGCCCAUUAGUGUCGGCGAAAUCUCGUGGGCCUUUAGCUGGGCCGGCCCAUUAUGAUCCACAAGAAUUUUGUGGGCCUUUACCUGGGCCGGCCCAUUAUGGCACACAAAAAUCUUGUGGGCCUUUACCUGGGCCGGCCCAUUAUGGCCCGCGAAAUCUUGUGGGCCUUUAGCUGGGCCAGCCCAUUAUGGUCAAUAAAAUCUCGUGGGCCUUUAGCUGGGCCGGCCCACUAUGGUCCGCAAAAUCUUGUGGGCCUUUAGUUGGGCCGGCCCAUUUAAACUUGAUGGGCCGUGCCACGUGUCGACGUAUCAUAGGCGCCUUCUGUCCAAUGACUGGAUGACAUCUGUCCCAACAUUGAGCCGACACGUGUUUCCUCCAGCCAAUGAUGAUUUUACACGUGGAAAAUCCCCAUUGGUCGCGGCUGUUAACGGGUUAUCGGAUCCAAAACCCGACCCGAUAGCUUAACGGCGUUCCUUUACGGUGGAUGCCACGUGUCGGUCACCCUUGACGAAAGCACUUCUGUGAUGCGCGAUUUAUCAUCAUGGAAGUGGACACUUCCGUGAUGAUAAUUUUGGUAAUGUCAUGGAACACUUCUACGACAGCACAGGUAUGACUAUCUUGAUUCUGUCAUAAAUUUGUCAUGGAUGUACAUGCAUGACAAAAAACGCGACCUACUGUGACAAACACGUAUCAUCAUGGAAGUGUAUUUUUUUGUAGUGACAGCGGGAAUCCCUCCCGCUUGCGCGACGCGGAGAGCACCAUAGGACAGCACCAAAGUAAAACAUACAACUCAUACCAAUCUAGAUCAUCAAUCAGCCCAAAGACAAAAGAUAUCUACUCAAAACAUCAUAGGAUGGCAACACAUCAUUGGAUCAUAAUAUGUGGCAUAAAGCACCAUGUUCAAGUAGGGAUUACAGCGGGGUGCGGGAGAGUGGACCGCGUAAAAGAGAUGAGGAUGGUGAUGUUGAUGAAGACGAUCACCGUGGCGUUGAUUCCCCUCCCGAUGGCACUCCGGCGCCACCAAGAGAGAGGAGGAGAGGUUCUCCCCCUUGUGCUUCCUCCUCCAUGGCCUCCCCCUAGAUGGGGAAAGGUUUUCCCUCUGAUCCUUGGCCCUCAUGGCGAUGAUGGCCUCUCCGGGAUACUCCUCCAUGGCCACCCGUGAUGAUGGCCCCCUCCGGCAGGGUGCCGGAGAGGGCCUAGAUUGAUUUCUCGUGGCUACAGAGGCUUCUGGCGGCGGAACUCCCGGUCUAGGUUUCUUUCUGGAAGUUUGGGUAUAUAUGAGAGGUGUUGGCAUUGAUUUCACGUCAGGGGGGUUUCCGGGCUGUCCACGAGGCAGGGGGCGCCCCCCCCCCCCUCGUGGGCAGCCCGGGACUCUUCUGGCCUACUUCCGGUACUCCGUGGGCUUCUUCUGGUCCAAAAAUGAUCUCCUUCAAGUUGCACGUCAAUUGGACUCCGUUUGGUUUUCCUUUUCUGCGAUACUCUAAAACAAGGAGAAAACAGAAACUGGCACUGGGCUCUAGGUUAAUAGGUUAGUCCCAAAAGUCAUAUAAAAUAGCAUAUAAAUGCAUAUAAAACAUCCUAGAUGGAUAAUAUAAUAGCAUGAGGACUUCAUAAAUUAUAGAUACGUUGGAGACGUAUCACCAGCCUCCGUGGCCCAUCUUCUAGUAUAUAAUCCCAUUUUCCCUAGAAAUAAUAAAGAGAGGACUUUCGGGACAGAGCGCCGCCGUCUUGAGGCGGAACUUGGGCAUGAGCACUUUUGCUCUCCGGUGGAGCUAUUCUGCCGAGGAUACUUCCCUCCGGGAGGGGGAAAUCGAAGCUAUCAUCAUCACCAACAACCCUGUCAUUGUGGGAGGGCCAAUCUCCAUCAACAUCUUCACCAACACCAUCUCAUCUAAAACCCUAGUUCAUCUCUUGUAUUCAAUCUUUGUCUCAAAACCUUAGAUUGGUACAUGUGGGUUGCUAGUAGUGUUGAUUACAUCUUGUAGUUGAUACUAGUUGGUUUAUUUGGUGGAAGAUUAUAUGUUCAGAUCCUUGAUGCUAUUCAAUAACCCUCUGAUCUUGAACAUGAAUAUUAUUUGCGAGUAGUUACUUUUGUUCUUGAGGACAUGGAAGAAGUCUUGUCAUAAGUAAUCAUGUGAAUUUGGUAUUCGUUCGAUAUUUUGAUGACAUGUAUGUUGUUGUUUCCCUUAGUAGUGUUAUGUGAACGUCAACUACAUGACACUUCACCACAUUUGAGCCUAAGGAAUGCAUUGUGGAGUAGUAAUUAGAUGAUGGGUUGCUAGAGUGACAGAAGCUUAAACCCUAGUUUAUGCACGAUUCCAUAAGGGGCUGAUUUUGAUCCAUAUGUUUCAUGCUAUGGUUAGAUUUAUCUUAAUUCUUCUUUCGUAGUUGCCGAUGCUUGCGAGAGGGGGUAAUCAUAAGUGGGAGGCUUGUUCAAGUAAGAACACCACCCAAGCACCGGUCCACCCACAUAUCAAAUUAUCAAAGUAACGAACGUGAAUCAAAUAAACAUGAUGAAAGUGAUUAGAUGAAAUUCACGUCUGUCCUCAAGAACGCUUUGCUUAUUAUAAGAGAAUUUUCCAGCCCGUCCCUUGCUACAAAAAGGAUUGGGCUCCCUUGCUGCACCUCUUGUUACUAUUGCUACUUGUUGCUCGUUACAAAUUACCUUUCUGAAAACCUCUUGUCAUUUCCUUCUGCUCCUAGUUGGGUUCGACACUCUUACUUGUCGAAAGAACUAUGAUUGAUCCCCUAUACUUGUGGGUCAUCAAGACUCUUUUCUAGCGCCAUUUCCGGGGAGUGAAGCACCUUCGUAAGUGGAAUUUGGUAAGGAAACAUUUAUAUUAGGUGCUGAAAUUUACUGUCAUUUGUUACUAUGGAAAACAAUCCUUUGAGGGGUUUGUUCGGAGUAUCUUCACCUCGACCGGAGGCACAAAGAGUUGUCCCUCAACCUACUGCACCUGCUGAAAAUGUUUAUUAUGAGAUCCCUUCGGGUAUGAUAGAGAAACUGCUAGCUAAUCCUUAUGCAGAAGAUGGAACAAUACAUCCUGAUAUGUACUUAAUAUAUGUGGAUGAAGUUUGUGGAUUAUUUAAGCUUGUAGGUUUACCCCAAGAUGGGGGUUAAGAAGAAGAUUUUCCCUUUAUCUUUGGAGGAAAAGGCAUUGACAUGGUAUAGGCUAUGUGAUGAUAUUGCAACAUUGGAUUGGAACCGACUGAUAUUGCAACUCAUGUUCAUCGUGAUCGGAAUUGUAUAUAUAGUUUUCGGCCUUGUGAAGGAUAAAGUAUCGUUCAAGCCUGGGGGAGGCUUAAUUACAUGAUGUACACAUGCCCCCAAUCAUGAGUUCUCAAUGGAAAUUAUCUUACAAAAAUUUUAUGCUUGGCUUUCUCAGAAUGAUCAAACCAUGCUCGAUUCUUCUUCUAUUGGUUCCUUUAUGAAGAAAAUCAUUGAAAUCAGAUGGGAUCUUAUGGAAAUAAUUAAACGCAACUCUGAAGAUUGGGAACUCGACAAAGGUAAAGAGUCAGGUAUAAAACUUGAGUUUGAUUGUGUUAAAUUUUUUAUGGACAUCGAUGUUUUUCAUAUGUUUAGCACUAAAUAUGGACUUGACUCUAACAUAGUAGCCUCUUUUUGCGAAUCAUUUGCAACUCAUGUUGAUCUCCCUAUGGAGAAAUGUUUUAACUUAUCUCCCUAUUAAAGAAAAGAUUGAGGAACCCGUUAUAGUUAAAGAUGAAACUAUCAUUUACAAUGUUGAUCCAGUCAUGCCAACUGCUUACAUUGAGAAACCUCCAUUCCCUGUUAGGAUAAAGGAACAUACUAAAGUCUCAACUAUGGUCAAUAAAAGUAAUAUUGGAACACCUAGACCCUAUGAACAAAUUAAAUUUGAACCUAAUGUUGUUGCUAUGGUUAAAGAUCUCUUGGUCGAUAAUAUUGAUGGGCAUGUUAUUUACUUCUGUAAUGAAGCUACUAGAAUUGCUAAGUCAAAUCCUAAAGAUAAGAAGCCUGUUGUUGGCAUGCAUGUUAUCUCUGUUAAGAUAGGGGAUCAUUGUUAUCAUGAUUUAUGUGAUUUGGGUGCUAGUGUAAGUGCUAUUCCGUUUACCUUAUAUCAAGAGAUUGUGAAUGAUUUUGCAUCUGCUGAAAUAGAGGACAUUGAUGUUACUAUUAAGCUUGUGAAUAGAGAUACUAUGUACCACUUGGGAUUGUUAGAGAUGUUGAAGUCUUGUGUGGAAAGAUGAAAUACCUUACUGAUUUUCUAGUUCUUGGUUCUCCACAAGAUGAUUUUUGUCCCAUUAUAUUUGGUAGACCUUUUCUGAAUACAGUUAAUGCUAAGAUAGCCUGCAAUAGAGAAACUGUAGCGUUAACUUUUGUGGCGUAUCUCACGAGUUUAAUUUUUCUAAAUUCCGUAGACAACCUCGUGAUAAAUAAUUACCUAGUAAGGAUGAAAUUAUUGGUAUUGCCUCUAUUGUCAUACCUCCUACUCAUCCGUUAGGACGAUAUUUGCUAGACCAUGAAAAUGAUAUGCAUAUGAGUGAAAGAAAUGAAAUAGAUAAGGUAUUCUUUAAUCAAGCACCUAUCCUUAAACAUAAUUUACCUGUUAAAACUCUUGGAGGACCUCCUCCACCUAAGGGUGAUCCCAUGUUUGAAUUAAAGCAAUUACCUGACAUGUUGAAAUAAGCUUACCUUGAUGAAAAGAAGAUGUAGCAUGUUAUUAUUAGUUCUAACUUUUCAGAGCAUGAAGAAAAGAGAUUAUUUAAAAAUCUAAGGAAGCACCAUGCUGCUAUUGGAUACUCUCUUGAUGAUCUUAAGGGCAUUAGUCCCACAUUGUGUCAACACAAGAUUAAUAUGGAGCCUGAUGCUAAGCCAGUUGUUGAUCACCAACGAUGGUUAAAUCCUAAAAUGAAGGAUGUGGUAAGAACUAAAAUAUUAAAUAUUCUGGAAGCAGGUAUAAUCUAUCCCAUAGAUGAUAGUAGAUGGCUAAGUCAUGUUCAUUGCGUUCCUAAGAAAGGAGGUAUAACCAUUGUUUCUAAUGAUAAAAAUGAACUCAACCCACAAAGAAUUGUAACUGGUUAUAGGAUGGUAAUUGAUUUCAGAAAAUUAAAUAAAGCUACAAAAAAAGAUCAUUAAACCUUGUUUUUUAUUGAUCAAAUGUUAGAAAGACUAUCUAAGCAUACACACUUUUGUUUCCUUGAUGGAUAUUCUAGUUUUUCUCAAACACCUGUGCCAGAAUCAAGAGAAAACUACUUUUACUUGUCCCUUUGGAACUUAUGCUUAUAUAUGGAUGCCCUUUGGUUUAUGUAAUGCACCUGCCACCUUUCUAAGAUGUAUGACUACUAUAUUCUCUGAUUUUUGUGAAAAGAUUUUUGAGGUUUUCAUGGAUGAUUUCUCUGUUUACGGGACGUCUUUUGAUGAUUGCUUAAGCAACCUUGAUCGAGUUUUGCAGAGAUGUGAACAAACUAAUCUUGUCUUGAAUUGGGAGAAGUGUCACUUUAUGGUAAAUGAAGGUACUUUUCUUGGGCAUAAAAUUUCUGAACGAGGUAUUGACGUAGAUAGAGCUAAAGUUGAUGCAAUUGAAAAAAAUGCCAUGUCCUAAAGAUAUAAAAGGUAUAAGAAGUUUUCUUGGUCACGCUGGUUUCUAUAGAAGGUUUAUUAAGGACUUCUCUAAAAUUUCUGGGCCUCUUACUAAUCUCUUACAAAAAGAUGUUCCAUAUCUUUUUGAUGAUGAUUGUGUAGAAGCCUUUGAAAUGCUUAAGAAAGCCUUAACCUUUGCACCUAUUGUUCAACCACCUGAUUGGAACUUGCCGUUUGAAAUUAUGUGUGAUGCUAGUGACUAUGCUAUUAGUAAAAGAGUUGAUAAGACAUUAAAUGUUAUCCAUUAUGCUAGUAAACUCUGGACAGUGCUCAAAGAAAUUAUGCUACUAUUGAAAAAGAAUUUCUAGCAGUUGUGUUUGCAUGUGAUAAAUUCAGAUCUUAUAUUGUUGAUUCCAAAGUAACCGUGCACACCGACCAUGCUGCUAUCAAAUAUAUUAUGGAAAAUAAAGAUGAUAAACCUAGGUUUAUUAGAUGGGUUCUUUUUCUACAAGAGUUUGACUUGCAUAUUACUGAUAGGAAGGGAGCUGAGCAUCCCAUAACUGAUAAUUUGUUUAGAUUGGAAAAUGUUCUUGAUGACCCACUGCCUAUUGAUGAUAGUUUUCCUGAUGAACAAUUAGUUGCUAUAAAUCCUUCUCGUAAUACUCCUUGGUAUGCAGACUAUGCUAAUUACAUUGUUGCUAAAUAUAUACCACCUAGUUUCACAUACCAACAAAAGAAAAAGUUCUUCUUUGAUUUAAGACAUUACUUUUUGGAUGAUCCACAUCUUUAUAAAGAAGGAGUAGAUGGUACUAUUAGAUGUUGUGUACCUGAGCAUGAACAUGAACAAAUCCUACGGAAGUUUCAUUCCGAGGCAGGGUCUUUGAAACGAUUUGCACUCAAAAUACAUCUCUCACUCGUGAAGUUAUUUUGUUGGAAGAGCAAAACAUCGCCCUUCGGAGUAUCAACCGUAAGAUGGAAUAUCUGCUGAAGCUGAAGGAAAAGCCCACUACCUCAUCACGGAAGAAAGAAACUUAAGUACACGGGUAUGGGCACUCCCCUUGGCUUGUGCCAAGCUUGGGGCAGGUGCCCGGUAUCAUGUCACCGCCACUUUUAUUAUCUUUACUUAUCUUAGUUCGAUCCUUAGUUAUUUUUUGAUUUAGUAGAAUAAAAAUUUAGUAUGAUCUAUUUUCGGGUGCUAGUUUCGUGAUCUAUCUAUCUAUGUAAUCGAGUUGAGAGUUAUAUAAUAAAGAGUAGUUUGAGUUUUGCUUCUUUACUUUCAUGGUUCAAUCUUAGCAAUGAAAAUAAUGCAAAGAUCGUAUGCUAAUCCCAUGGAAAGUAAUGACUUUACAUAAAUAAAAGUAUAAGUGGUAAAAUUUAUUGGAAGUUAACAAACAUAGUUUUGGUCAAUGAUGCAAUUCAUGAAAGAUUACUAAGGGAAGAGAAGAUUCACAUAUAAAUAUACUAUCUUGGACAUAUUUUAUGAUUGUGAGCCCCCAUUAAAUAUUUUAUGUCAAAUAGUUAACGUUGGACAAGGAAGAAAACGUAAUGAGUUAUGUUUGCUUAUAUUCACAUAGAAGUUAUAUUGUUAUGGAUCCCCAAACAUGUGGUGCUUUCUCAAUAUCUUUGCUAGCCAAAAUUUUGCACCAAGUAGAGAUACUACUUGUGCAUCAAAAAUCCUUAAACGUCAGAGUCCACUAUAUCUACCUAGGGAUUUAAUAAGAUCCUUCAAGUAAUUUGUCAUUAGUGCAUAAAGCAAUAAAAAUUGCUCCUAAAUAUGGAUGAUUUUUUAUUGUAAGGGAAAAUAAGCUUUGUAUGAUCUUGUGAUGGUAAAGAAAUAAAAUCGACAGACUGCAUAAUAAAGGUUGCUAUCACAAGAGGUAAUAUAAAGUGAUGUUCCUUUACCUUAAGAGCUUGCACAUCCAAACAAAAAGCGCAUUACAACCUCUGCUUCCCUCUGCGAAGGGCCUAUCUUUUACGUUUAUGUAUUUACUUUUCAUGCAAGAGUCAAUAGUGUUCUCCUCUAUUCCUUUUUCAUUUUUCUCUUUUGCAAGCAUCAUGUGGUGGGGAAAGAUCUUGGAUAUAUAUCCAGUUGGAUAUGAGUUAUUAUUGUUGACAUUACCCUUGAGGUAAAUGAGUUGGGAGGCGAAACUAUAAGCCCAUAUCUUUAUAUGUGUCAGACUGAAACUUUUGGUCCAUAUAUAUGUCUUGAUUGUCAGCAAUCAUAGAAGACUAAAUGAUAGUUGAGUAUGAUUUGCUAAACAAAAUCUCUUACAUGAGACCCUUCCUGAAACUAUGAUGAACUGUAAUUGCCUUGUUGACUGAGAACAUAGUUUGUUAGUUUUCAAGAAAGUUUAUGCCUUAUACUUUGUUGUUGUGAUGAAUUGUUACUUGCUCAUGAGAAGUUCUACGAUAAUACAUAUUGAUGUUAUAAUAACAAUAAUGAUGCUUCCAUGUCCGUAUUUUGUUUUUAUCGGCACCUCUCUCUCUAAACAUGUGGGCAUGAUUAUCGAUAUCGGUUUUUGCUUUAGGAUAAGCGAGGUCUAAGCUUGGGGGAGUUGAUACGUCCAUUUUCCACCAUGUUUUCCUAUUGUUAUUUACAAUUUUUUAUCAAUAUAACACUUUCUGGAGCAAUUCUAAUGUAUUUUCUCUCUUAAUUUGCAAGAUUUACAUGAAGAGGGAGAUUGCCGGCAGCUGGAAUUCUAGACAUGAGAAAACUAUGUUAGAGAUACCUAUUCUGCACAACUCCAAAUGAUCUGAAAUUUCACAAAGAAUUAUUUUGGAGUAAUAAAAAAAUACUGGAGAGAAAAGAAAUACCAGAGCAGGCCACACAGGUGCCCACAAGGCACGAGGGUGCGCCCUGGUGGCUUGUGGGGCCCCUAGCCAGCCUCUGUGGCCCAUCUUCUGGUAUAUAAUCCCAUUUGCCUUAGAAAAAAAUAAAGAGAGGACUUUCGGGAUGGAGCACCGCCGUCUCGAGGUGGAACUUGGGCAUGAGCACUUUUUCUCUCCAGCGAAGCGAUUCCGCCAGGGAUGCUUCCCUCCGGAGGGGAAAAUCGAAGCUAUUGUCAUCACCAACAACCCUCUCAUCAUGGGAGAGCCAAUCUCCAUGAAAAUAUUCACAAGCACCAUCUCAUCUCAAACCCUAGUUCAUCUCUUGUAUUUAAUCUUUGUCUCAAAACCUCAUAUUGGUACCUGUGGGUUGCUAGCAGUGUUGAUUACAUCUUGUAGUUGAUGCUAGUUGGUUUAUUUGGUGGAAGAUUAUAUGUUCAGAUCCUUGAUGCUAUUCAAUACCCCUCUGAUCUUGAACAUAAAUAUUAUUUGCGAGUAGUUACUUUUGUUCUUGAGGGCAUGGGAGAAGUCUUGUCAUAAGUAAUCAUGUGAAUUUGGUACUCGUUCGAUAUUUUGAUGAUAUCUAUGUUGUUGUUUUCCUUAGUGGUGUUAUGUGAACGUCUACUACAUGACACUUCACCAUAUUUGGGCCUAAGGAAUGCAUUUUGGAGUAGUACUGGCCGAAAGGCAUUGUACUCGGCUUCUUUGCCGCUUCUUCUCUGAUGCAAUGAUACGCAUGCUUAUGCAUAUUUUAGAAAGAGAAAAAAGGUAAACAUGUUACCGUUUUGAAGGAGUACUUAUAUACAUCGGAUCUAACGCCAAGGUUUUAUGUUCAUCCCUGAUUACUAUAAGUGAAAUUAUUUUGUUUCAAAGUACAUAGCAUGCACAUGUUGUCAACUAAAUAAUGCAUCUGUUGUAACUUGGAAGACACAUUUGAUGAUGAAAAUACCAUCAAGAAAUCAAUACUAAUGGUUCCACUUAUACUCUAGAAGAUUCUUCAAAUAUUUACCCAAUAAUAAACUAGAAACUAUUGUUAGGAUAUUUGGCUCAUAGUGCGUCUUAGAUAUCUAUACCAUCACACUCUCUCAAUUUUCAUUUAGUCUGUAUAAAAUUCCAGGCCCACAAACAAAUGAAAAGAGACUGGGUUGCAUGCAGUUCAUGCAUUGGCAAACAAUCCCAAUUAGAGUUUGCUUGUGAUGCAUGUAUUAGUGCAGAUGGGCAAGACGCAAACUAAAUAAAAACGUAAACAUGUUAAAUGCAGAGUAAAAAAGUGGAGAGAGUAUUUAAGAAUAUCACACACACAUACAAAAUUUAUGCAAUUAAUAAAGUACACUUUUCAUCACAAAAUAUAGUUUAAAUUUAGCACAAAUAAUUUGAAAUGAUAUAUUAUAAUUGUAUAAGAAAACAAUAUAUUUAGCAAUAAUGUUAUGUGGUUAAUGACACUAUAGAGAGCAGUCAUACUUAUAGAUUUAGUAGAAUGCUAAAAAAACAUGUUAUAUAAAGUAUAAAAGUUUGGCAUAAAUUAUUGUUAUUUUAAUUUGCUCCAACAUGCAAAUUCGUUUGGAUAGGCACAACAUACAAAUCAAAAUAAGGAGGUGUUUGGUUGGAAAAUGGCAACACAAAUGGUAAUGUAAUCAUAAUAUGGUGGUAACGGAAACACAACGUGAAAAAACAAGUAUCAAACUUUUCAGUUGGGACGUCACAAAAUAUCAAACCAUCCCUAAAGAUAUAGUAUCCCAGUCAACAUUUCUAAUAGUAAUCAGGAUCAAACUAAAAUAAUAAUAAAUGGAUAAUAUUCAAUCAUUUAACAUAGAGUGCUUCCAAAGAGCACAUCAAUCACAUGGGAAUAUUACAUGCUUUUUAUUUGAGACAAAUCAGAAGCCUAGUAGUAGUGUCGAAUCGGUCCAUACCUUCGAGUCAAAAUGGUGCAGCCAGACUCAGUAGAGUAAGCAGAAGGGGAUCCUUGGACUGCCAACAGAGUGUAUCACCUCCUCGGACGGCUCAUGCCCACACCUGCAACAAAUGACACACCAAAGUGAUUCGCUAGGAGAAACAAAAGGAAAUCAUAGAUUUUGUAUCGAUUUUUCAGGACCAAUAUCAACAUAUACGAAGGGAGUUUACUUGUUUGCAGAUCCAGGACAAGAUAGAUCCAAAUCUAGGCCAUAUCCACCACCCAAUGAGGAGAAUUGUGCUCUAUCAGUUCCAAUCCCAAGAAAUAGAAAAAAUGAAAGGGAAUCGAGAAGAAGGGGUUUGGAAGGAGAGAACCCAACCAUUUUUUCAUGCUAGCGCGAUCUGAACACCCCCGGACGCUGCUUUCUAGCCAUGGUAAAAAUCAAUAUCAAACACAAUAUGAAAACGCAAUGGAAUUUGACCUGAAUUUUCAACACCAUUUUCCCCUCUUCGUCAGCUGCCCCAGCCGUGUGUGUUAAUACUACCACCAGCGGCGACGCACAUUGCAUCCUCCACAAUCCGUGCUCCAUGUUGCUGACACUUGAUCAAGAGCCAUACCAGACAGGUGGAUGCUCUAUCACCGACUUGACCAUCAUCUCCUCAUGGCCUCACAACCUCCUCGCUGCUAGAAGCAGGAGUAUAGUCCGUUCUCACCGACCGGAUCAACAAUUUUCGGCAUGCCAAACCAAGCCGAUCACUGUCGAUGCUAGGACCUCGCAGGAGAACACACUACUACAUGGAGGACGAGAUCGACAAAGGAGACAUGGCUUGUUACGUAUGGAAGCCGAGGAGGAAGGUGAAGGCUUGCAACGAGAAAACGACUUUCGCUCAGGUGUCGUUUUUGUGAUGGGAGAUUUUUGGUGUAAUUGAUAUUGAAUAGAGUAGUAUCAAUCACGUGCUAACUGAUUAUGAGCCAAUGUAAAUCAAACAAUCGUAUCGUUUUUCCUUUGCCCUGUAAUUGGAGGGCGGGAGGAAAUUAAUGAACUAAACACCUCCUAAGUGGAAAUAUCAAAAUAGAUAUAUAAAUCAAAGUGGCUCAUGAUAUGACUAAGAGCAAAAACUUUCCAAAAAUUAAUGAUGAGCGGUUUUCAUGAUGCACCAUCGUACGCAAGAAAUUCAAGAACAAUGGUCAUAUCACCAUCAAGGAAGGCGGUGUUGGUUCAUCGCUGCUCUCGGUGAUGCAAACAUUGUCCACUUCUAACGACUCGAUAAAUAUGAAACACAAAUGCCCCCCCCCCCACCCCGUUUUGGCACAUCUGUAAUGAUUAUUUUAGAUAGCAUNNNNNNNNNNNNNNNNNNNNNNNNNNNNNNNNNNNNNNNNNNNNNNNNNNNNNNNNNNNNNNNNNNNNNNNNNNNNNNNNNNNNNNNNNNNNNNNNNNNNNNNNNNNNNNNNNNNNNNNNNNNNNNNNNNNNNNNNNNNNNNNNNNNNNNNNNNNNNNNNNNNNNNNNNNNNNNNNNNNNNNNNNNNNNNNNNNNNNNNNNNNNNNNNNNNNNNNNNNNNNNNNNNNNNNNNNNNNNGGGGUUCACAACAUAAAUUUAUUUUUCUUCAGCUCCGACAGUGAUAAAAAAACACAACAUGUGCAUGCAUCAAAGAAUCGAUGAUCUGGAGAUGGUUGUACAUUGUCAUCAACUCUGUAGUGAAGUCUUAAAGCACUUAACAAGAAGUUGAAGAAAGCUUGUGCUAGCAACACUGAAGCAAAUAAUAAGACUUUGGGACAUGGACCCAAACUUGCAGCGCGCAGGAAUUAGUCUUGAUACAUGAACCACUCCUAGAUUGUUCCAAGAUUUGCGAGGGGUCCAUAAAAACGUCGUCGCAAGGCCCAACCACCUUGUGGAGCCGGCGAGGCGGUGUAUGUGGACAUUAUCUUGAAAAAAGGACAAUGCUCCACGAACACUAAUUAUGGUGACAGUGGUCGUGUCUAUCGACUUGGUAGUGCUCUGUCAAGUAUAUCAUGUUUCUUCCUCCAUUCUAUUUGUUCUUUAUUUGAUGUAAUCUAGUUGAUGAUUAUUUUCUUAGGUUUAGUCUAUUUGAUGCUUACAUUGUAAGAUUUACAUUUCACAUACCCUUGUCAGUGACUAAAAGAAAACAAAACUAGGAAUAAAUAUACAUUUUUUUAUAGUUGUGGCAAUUUUGAGUAAUAUAUCUAUGAGCUAUGGGAAUGAUUGAUAAACCAUGUUCCGCGCUUAGUGUGUUGAAUAGACGACCAAAUGCACAGUGGGGCGCGCGAUGGGCCUAGUAGAUUCCACGGUUCGGCCAAAUUUCUAUAUCUUUUUUUAUUUCUCUAUGAACAUUUUUUUAAUAUUCGAUGAGCAUCACACACACACACAUAUAAAUUUUUUUUGUUUUUGGACCCUCAAGUUCCCCAAAAGUAUAGACUUGAUCUCUCAAGAUUUUUUGAUAGACAUUUGGUCCUUCAAGUCUCAAACCCUGAUAAGUUUGGUCCAAAACCAGAUUUUGAGCACGUUGACUCGGUUUGACCAUGUUCACCAGGUUUGACUGAUGAAUAGUAAAUUAAAAAAACUGAAAAUUUGUGACAACCAAGAUGCUUGGGGCGCUAGUUGCGUGUAAAUUUUGGUGGUCAAAUAACAUCCGAGGAGCUAUAGCAAGAAAACAAAAUUUGGCUUUCUUUGUGAGCCAAAGUUUUUUUUGCCACAAGCUCCUCGAAUGUCAAAACACCAUACAGAUUUUCACGCACCUAGCGCACCGAAGCAUCUUGGUAACCACAUAAUUUCAGUUUUUUUAAUUCUCUUUUUGCUAUUUUUUUAAGUUUAGUGUUUAUCGGUCAAACCCGGUCAACAUGGUCAAAAUAUGGUUUUGGACGAAACUUACCUGAUUUUGAGACUUAAAGGACCAAAUGUCUACCAAAUUGACCUUGAGGGACCAAGUAUAUAUUUUUGGGGAACUUGAGGGACCAAAAACAUACUUUUCUCAUACAUAUAUAUUAUGGAUAUUUAAAAUAGGAACAUGAAUUUCUUAAGAAAAUAUAUACACACAAAUAUUAAUGCAUGAAUAUAUUUUUAUAGAUAAACAGAAUAUAUUUUUAGAUGAAUAAGCACACUUUAUAUAUAUGCAAUGAGCCUUUUCUGAGAUGCACGAACUUUUGUAUUUGCGCAGGUUAAAUAAAGAAACUUUAUAGGAUUUCUCACACUAUGGUCUGUUCGUAACUUCUUUGGGGAGGCCCAUUUAUGUCUGGCCCGACUUAAACAAAGCAGAGCUUUUUGUUGGGCUAGGGGGACCAUGGGCUUGUUUAUCAGGAAUGGCUUCUGGCUCGCACACGACCACCGAUGUCGCCUUUCUGCCCCGUCUGCAAAUAGCGCACGCGCAUAGGCAGCCGAUCAACACCGCAAGGAGGCCACCGGCGACCGUUCCACCAACGGCCGCAGCUACGGCACUUUUCCUCUUGGACUCCCCUUGGUAGAACUGUUUCUGUGGGAUCGGCGGGUUGGCCCCGGCGAGGUUGUUGCUGCCGUACGUCUGGAGCUUGAACACCUCGAGGCCGUUGAGUAUCGCGUCGUAGUACUCCGGCCUGCUGCUGAGGUCCGGGUGCAGCGCGACCCACAUAUCCAUCUGGCCGGAGCCCGUCGUGACGACGAGGUAGUCGGUGUACACCGGAACCCCUAUCCCUCCGCUCCACGCGAUGACGUCCAUCUGCUCCUGCGCCGUCUGGUUGUUGAUGUAGAUGAAGAAGGAGCGCUGGUUCACCCUGGUGAUCGGGUCCUGGAUCUCGCAGAAGUGGAACCUCAGGAGGUAGUAGAACCCCGCGUCCACGGGCAGGAUCCACGUGAGGUUGUAGUUCAGGUUGAUCUGCGCAGUCGGGCCCAUGGACCUCGCCGACGCGUACACGCCCUCCGGCGCGAUGUGCGGCGGCACGGACGGCGGGUAUCGGAUGGUGACGUCGCUGUCCUUCUCGAAGGAGACCCCGCCGGCCGCGCCGAAUAUGUAAGGGAUGUCCGUGUCCCAGGUGCGGUAGAAGCGGCCGGAGUCGUCAGCCGGAGAGACGGCCUCGCCGCCGACGUUGAGACGGUACAUGGUCUGGAAGGCCGUGUCGGCGCGGACGGGCAUCGGGUCCGGGCGCCCCCCGUUGGCGAAGGUCGGCACCGGCUUCGUGAACACGUCUGGCGUGGGCACGAUCUCGAUGCCGUUCACGAACGCGUAGUGGGAGGAGGCGCCGGGGGACGGGGCGAAGGUAACCUCCAGCCUCCCGCUCGAGUUGACGUUGAGGGAGAACUCGCGGACGAGGUAGGCGGCGUCGAGCGCGAGCGCGGUCUGGGACGCGUUGAAGUCCUGCAGCAGCGUGACGCCGCCGGCCGUGACGCCGAAGAGGGCGCCGGAGGCGCUGCGGUUGCCGUAGUCGGCCGGGUAGAAGUAGAGGCGGAGGAACACGCGGCCGGGGCGGACGAGGAAGGUGUAGGUGUGGCUCGACGCGAACACGCGCGCCGUCAUGUAAGGCACGGUAGAAGGCAGCGACGGGUCUUGAUACGACGCACGGGCCGCGACGCCGGCGUUCGUCGACGGCAAGAACAUGGACGCGGAGUCACCGUCCCACGCACGGCCGUCGGAGUCGGUGGCCGAGGCGGACGAGCCGCAGCUCAGGCGGACCUGCCCGGCAGGGUCGGUGGAGUUGUUGCCGCCGCCGUCCGCGGCGGCAAGGGAAAGGGACACGAUGGCUAGCAGCAAGAGGCACGGAAGCACAGUCGAGCAGGCCUUGGCCAUGGCCAUGGGACUACUAGCUGCUAGCAAAGCUAGUGUAGUGGCGGCUUUGCUUGGUUGGCCCGUGAUGAUGCGCGCGCCUCAGUUCGAAUCACGAUUGUUUGGCAUAUAUGGGCUGUGCAGAGCGUGGUUGUGGUGGGAGGCGAUAUUUAUGGGCUGUGGAGCACAAAUGAUUUCUGUCACUGUCUAUGUCUAGUGUCUACUGCCCUCCUGAACACGGUGUGAUAAUGGUAUCAUGCAUUUUUACCCGCGAAGAACACACUGAAAAUGCUCUGCUUCCUCUCACAAGUGGAGGAAAAACGACCCGAUUGAUCGUCUGGAAACGUGUUCGGCCUUGGUGGAUCCAAGCUGGCAGGCGGCCUAUUUCUCCAACGCGCUAUGGCAUGCACCGAUCGCAACCAGCUCCGGACGCGAACCACCGACCGAUGCCCGCUGGCAGGGAGCUAUCGUCGAAGGGUCAAAGUCGUCUCACAUCCUCGACGAAAACAACAGCUAGCCCGCCCACGCCGCAGUCACCGUGUCAACUUAUCUCUUGAUAACCCACUACGAGAUUCGGUUGGAGUUACUAGUAGUAGCACAGAGAAUUAUUUACAGCUCAUUUCCAGCGCUUCAAACGCACUUGUAUCAUGGUCGCCGAGCUUGACUGCUCUGCUCUAGUGCUCCUGAGCGUUCAGCGUUUGAAGCCACGUCGGGGGUUUUUGCUUGCCGACUUCGAUCACCAUCACAUAAUUAUCGCAUCGUCUUUUCCGGUAAAUAAAUGCUUUUUUGCUAAAAAUGGUGGCUGCGUCAACCGGAGCCAGCUCAUUUAGGGCAUCUUUGGAUUCUGGCCAUUUGGAAAAGCUAAGAAGGGUACAAAUGCAAGAAUCAAUUAAGAACAAAGGCGUCAAAACAGAGGACUGGAAAACAUGUAGACUUUUAUAAUUUGGGUCUUUCGAUCACAGGGAUAGGAAAAAACAUGAAAAUCCUAACGAACAUAGUUAAAUAAGAACCAAGCUGUAUUAAAGCGGAAAAAUAGAAGGGACAUUAACGUUAUCAUGCUGUUAAGGACCUUGGUCUCAGUUUUCAUGUGUAGGGGAAUUUGAAAACAAAGGUUCAAGUGGAUUAUAAAAUUUCUGCAUUUUUUCGUUGGAAUUGAGACUACCAGAAUUUUUCUUAAUUUUUCAUACUCUCCAUUCCUUUGAACCAAACAUAUGAAUAGCCCCACCAUAUAACAGUUUUCUAUUCCUAUGUUUUUUCUCCACUUUUCCACUAAACAAAAGGGACCCUUAGUUGUCACAUUUUUUUUCUUUAAAAAAGAGCUUCCUCUUUGAUUUUAACGAAACCAUCAUGUCCUAUCUUAGAAGCUGCCAAAAGAAAGCAACAAGUAGCAGGUACCUAGAGCAAAUGGGGAAUUCAUGCGUUUGGGCAUCCACAGACCGGAUCCUCAACAACAUGAGCACACACUGCCUAUUAACAUGCAAUAAUUUAAGCACACACUGCCUAUUAACGACCCUGCCAAAAGUUCAGCACACAACGAAAGGAACUUCAACACAUCGGGGUGCUGUGGCAAACCAAGCAUGAAGAGACAACAACACAUUCACCCCUGACCAUGUUCGUCUCUAUCCGCCAGCCACACACCACUUUCAUGACUUCAUUUGCUAUCAUUUCAAACAUUUUUACCCCGCACCGCAGCGUUUCUUGUCUUUCCAAUUUAUGCAAAAGGACCCAGUCGUUAAGCUAUCGAGCAAUCAUAUUAACAUGAACAUGUGGAUCAAUAUUAUUUUUGUUUUCAAACACACUACUAUUCCUCAGUUUCCAGAUUGUCUCGAACAAAGCUGAAACGCCAACUGUCAUCCAAUGUUUCUCAAAAAUUUCAAAUUUUAACAAUCCAGACAUAAAAAUAAGUCAUGGAUGUUAUUAGGCACAUCCAACGAAUUGAAUACACAUUUGAAAAUGUUUCAAAAACAUCCUGGAAAUAGAACAUUGCAUGAAAAGAUGGUCAAUUGACUCAUCUCUUCUGCAAAAGUGACAAGUUUUGUUACCAACCCACUCUCUUCUACUCAAAUUGUCUUUAGUUAGGACACUUUUCCUAAGUACUAAAGAGCUAUUUUGAGACCUCGGGGCGUCCAAAGAGCCUUUAGUAAAAGGCAAUAUUACAAGUGACUAAUUCCUUGUCUCCCUCAAUCUUCACCUCCUCUGAUCCAAAUAAUUCAUGGUAUUUUUUCUACGUCUUCACUAGCUUUAGCAUGAAAGUAUCUAGGUUUGAUAUCUCCCUCAAAUACUUCUUUAAUUUUCACCCUCAUUUCAGUUCCUCCUAUUUCCUAAGCAUGUCUAGUUGUGAUCUCAAUUCUUUUUGUUCAUGUCCCAUCUCAUUCGUAAGCCCAUGUAUCUCACAAUUUUAUCAAUGUUAUCAAGUUUGACCAGGAUAUCAUUAUUCAUGUCCCUAUAUCAAGCAUUCAUGUUUCUAUGCCUUCCUUUCGGCUUAGCCCUGAGUUUUCUUAAUUUCUUUUGCCAUCUAUCUAGGUUAGAUCCCCUCAAAGCAUGCCCUAACUGGGUUUCAUAGACGGCCUUCUGAAUACCCUCCAUUAGAAACUAGGAGUUUUCAAAUCUAAAGAUAGGAUCAAUAGUGGCAUAUUCCCUAAGUCUUCAUGACUAAUCAUAACAACAAUGGUUAUUAUUCUUGUUUACUUUAACAACUUGUUUAUUAUUCGUAGAUUUUCUCCACGCAUGUUUCUUUACAACAUAUAUAUGUUUAUACUGGAUGCAAAGGCCAAAAUUGGGAACUUAUUUAUGGUUGUAUCACCAAGAUACAUUUUGGAAAAUGAGUAACAUAUAACUCGCACUGCAAAAAAAAGACCAAUCACACCACGGGGUGUUCGAUGAUCGUCGACUUACGUUUGAUUUGUGGUAAAUGAUUUACAACAAUAUUCACAUGUGCUCGCGUAUUUCAAUUUCUUCCUUUUCGUUAAGUCUGUAGCGACCUUAUGCUUCCCUCCAUUGUAUCUAUCUUCCCAUGUUCCACCAGAAGCAUCUACUUCAUCUUUAAAACCCUCCCUCCACGAAAUUGCUCCACUAAACAAAAAGGGUGAUGUUUUCUCCACGUCUACCACCCCAUUCUAUCUCUCUUAAGCAUUACAAUGUUCUCUCUCUACCUUGCAAGCUCCUACAUAUACGUUGUUGCCCGUCUAAGAUGCCUCAUUGUACCUCCUGAAGUAACAUGGCACCGAGGAAAAAUAUGCAGAGCCUCUUCGAUCCAUGUGAUUUCAAGAACACAGAAUAGCAAAAUGUUGGAUUGCACUGGUGUGCCCACUCGAAUCCUACAUGGUUGUCUUUCUCCCAAAAAAUCGGAUGCACUACAUGAAAAACAAAUGAUUUUUCCUCAGAAGGUUUGAGCGCACAUACAAUUUUCUUUAAGUAAUAGUGCAAGGGAAUCCUUAACACCAUCCAUGCGGGGUUUGAUAAAAAAAUACUACCAUGUCAAAAAAUUCCCUAAGGACUAUAAUUCUCCGAAAUUUCAAUGGGGAUCCUCUAAAUCAAAUAGGUUCUGGAUUUAUCACUAACCAUCCUAGAUCAUAGUGUAAUCUAUGAAUCAAAUUCUGCCCAAAAAGGGAAGGUAAUCAUGACUAGUGAAAGACGACUAUGAUGGUUCUACUUCCAACCAUGCGGAAUGGCAAACACAGACUAAAGGAUGCCAAAAUGAAUUCGGUUACAAGUUCCGACAAGACACUUGGGAAAGCAAGCAUCGACGUGUAUGUGCACAAUUGUCACAAGGAAGUUUUCAGCAUGUCGAUAUGUUCAAUGUUGUUAAAUUGCUAUAGCAUGGGAGAAGUUGAAGUACUCGCUUCAAUCAAGGGAUCUAAACUGCCACUAGAGUGGACUUAUAUACAGAUCCUGUUGGAAUCAAAAUGUGUUGUUGUGGUGAAAUAUGUUCAUGCCAUAUGGCACAAACGCAGGGGUCCUCAUAGCUUGGAUUAGGGAGAUAUAUAUUUGUUGGCACUGAAACCAAGAUUUUUUUUAUCUCACACGAGUGCGAUACGGUGAAUCACAAAAUUGAACAAUUAGGCCAACAAUCUUUUACAUAAUCUCUCCCAGUCAUGGAAGAAAAAAUAAGAUACUUGUAAGACCACAUAGUCAAGAAAGUGCCAAAUGGAUGGUGGUCUACAUGGCCAUUUGAACUGGUGAAACGACUGUCAUGGGAAAUCUAAUGAAAUUAGGGUAACAUUCCUUUCUCUUGCACCAGUAUACAGUUUUAUUGCAACCAUGCUCAGACUGUUGGAUUCAUCAUAUUAUUUUAUUGCUCUAAUUGUGUUAUUUUUAUGUUGUUGUGUGGCAACGGUCAGUGUAUAAUGCAGAAGCUUGAGUCACAAACUCACAUCACAUUUUUGGCAUGAGUGUGUAUGUGGUUGAUGCCUCCAAAAUUUACGUUGUUUUUACCUCUUGUUUGUGCUCCAGUAGUAGCCUUUGUCGGAUUUUACUGUGUUCGAGCACGACUUUUUGUCUGUUAGAAUGCCACUACGAACGUCUUCGGGAGUUUAAGAACUUAACGCCAAGAUAUGGUGAUAAAAUCACAUCAAUUAACGUGAUAUAAUAUUACCAUAAAAGAAUAAAGCAAAAGGGAGAAGAGAGAGGCUUCACGGAGGAGUCCAGAGCACUUGACGAGGCAUGGUAUGAGCGCGUGUGCUCGUGCACGUCACCGUCUAGUCUAGUAUUUCACCCAUGUGCAGUCAGAUCGAUCAUCAGAGGUCCAUAGCCACCAGAAACAACUCCAGAAUGCAAAAUCCUAACUUCCAGAAGGCAUUCGAAGUGGAAAUCGGCAAGGAGGACUCUGUAAUUGUCAUCAUCAUGUGCAAGGAGGCGACGACAUCAACCAUCUACAUCACCAUACCAACUCCAUUUUGUUGUAAUAUCGAACCCUAGUGGAUCCUACGUGUAUUACUGUAAUUUAUCAUCCAUGUUUUUCACCGCUAUUCAUGUGAUGUUCUCCGUAUCCAUGUGUGAAUAGUUCCCUUAAUUAUCGGGGAUAUGGAUGAACCUUGGCAUGCAUAGGUGCUGAAUGCUUAUAAGAAUAUGAUAUUCUAUGUUGAAUGUCUGAUUUAUUAGCUUCGUGAAAUGUCGUGAAGGAGCCCCACACAACAUUUUCGGCUUGUAUGACCGCGAAGCAAGGUUGUCAGAAUCGCGAUUUUGAAUCGGAUCGGAGCUCUGAUUGUAGGAUCGCAAAUCGUAGAAUCUUCACUAUCAAGAUCGUAGAAACGUAGAUUCUGUGAACUAAAAUCAUAGAAUCAUAGGGGUUAGUUUGGAUCGUAAAGUCGUAGAAUCGUACAGCAGAAUCGCGAUUCUGACAACCUGGCACGAAGCAUAUUACUAUCAUUGUAAAGGUUAGGAUGUUGAGUUAAUUCGAGGUGACGGUAAAAUACUCUCUACCUCGCCUUCGCAAUUCUAAUAGGUGAAUAACCAAGAUCCCUUAGUGUGGUCGUGUCCACAAGGAAACCCUUAAUUACUCUAGUGAUAACCGAAGUGGGGAAACUAUGGUAGUGGCGUGCGUGGUAUGAAGUCUACCUCGAGCAGAACGUAUAUUAUACUUGGAUACGCCCAAUUACAAAUGUCAAGAGCAGCUCAAGUAUCCAACCUAGAACUACGCAAUAGCAUACAUAAUGUUGGACACCUACCAGUGGGAAUUCCAGACUCCCCGCUUUAAUCCUUUUGUUGGUUUCAUCGCUUUAUUCACCUCGCUAUGUUCUUUUACUUCUUUUAUGCUAUUUACUUUUGUCAGUAUUCUACUCAAAAUUAUUAUAACCUUCGCCAUUAUUUUGCUUUGCAUCUAUGACGAACUUACAGGCACAUCUAUACCACUAUAUAGUGUCACAAUAACUUCGAAUAUCAGCCGUUGGAUAUGCUCCGUCCAAGAGUUGAGAGACGAUAAAUCCAAAUAAUAUCAUCCAUUUGAUAAAGUUUUCAUCUCACUAGAUUCUGUCAUGUGGCCUUUUAAUCGAAUCCACACUAUCUCCUCAUAUUAUUCUAGAAGUAUCUUUUUCCCAUCCCAAGAACCCGAUUCUCCAAUAAAAAUAAAGGAAUAGAACAAUCUAGAUUGUAUAGAGAGUUGGGACCUAUCAAAUAUGAUUCGUACAAAAGGAAAUAAAAUGUCAAGAAUGCCUUUCACCCUGCUAUUAUAUAUGUCCUGAUGUGAAAAGCACAUAUAAUUUACUAGUUCCAAUAAGUCUCUAUAAGGGGCAAAUUUCAAUUCAUUUGCUCCGUGUGGGAUCGAUACUUUUACUUCAAAAAGGCCACAGCUAAACCCUAUGCACUUGCAGACCAUCCGUGGUGUUGUAAUUUGCAAAUAAAUGAUUGAGUUACUUAAGAUCUUUAUAUGUUGCAAUCCCGUAAAUUUCAGUAGAAGUGCCCGAAGAGUUGCAUUGGUGCGCAAGUGUUUGGGUUCUUCUUUUUUUGGCGGGUAUUAUUUGGGUUCUAUUACAACAACACACACAAUAUGUUACAAGCCUAAAGAUAACGGAGUUGACAUCUUAGUGUGAGCAGUUGUGCUUGGAAGAAUAACUAGAAAAAGAAAACACAAUAUAACAUUGAUGCAGGCGAAGAGAUCGAACAGAUCAACAUGACGAAUGCGAAAACAAGAUUAGAUGGUCAAAUGUGUUGUAUCACACAACAGGGUCUGUCCAAAUGAUCACCAAUGCCAGGUACAUGAACAUGACACUCACAAGCUAGAGUUCUAUUUUAUUUUCAAUUUUUUGAGAUAAGAGGGGAAUAAACAGCUUUAUUCAUGAAUUCCCUUUAUUCCGAAAGAGUCUGUUCUCCCAUCAUAAAAAAAAAUGAGUCGGUCCUAACAGGCCGGUUCCGCGACCCAACGUAACUGGAAAUCUCCGGAUAGGCUCGUACCGCAAAGCCAUUCUGGGCCGUAAUGGGCCCAGUCUAAAUCAAAUAAAUAGAACAACGGCUCUCUCCAUCCAACUUCCCCAAAUCCACCUUCUCUGCUUCUCGCGAGCACAAAGGUUCGCGGCGCACGGCCAGCAUAUAUACGCCGGCGACGUUCGAUCGUUGGCCUCGUAGCAUCUUGGCGUGCGGUGUUCCCGGAGACGCGAGAUGGGCGACUGGAAAAGGAAGUCCAUUGCUGGCGGACCGUCGCCGGGGAUGGGCGACUGGAAAAGGAGGUCCAUUGCUGGCGGGCUGCCGCCGGAGACGCCCACCGAAAUCAUCCCCGGCGCCUUGCACUUGAACCUGGAUUUCUUCUACCGCCCCGGCGCCGCCGGCGUCGCCUUCCCCAUCGACAGAGGUAGAUGACCAAGAAGACAGCACGCCCUCUUCUUUACUUCUUUCAGGCCCGCACGGUUCUUGAUUUAGGCCGCGGUUCUUGAAUUCUGUUCUGAAAGUUUCCGUUCUUGGUUUCUUGCAGCCGAUCAGAACGGUGGCCAAAGGAGGAUGGCGGCGGUGACGCCGCCGGCGACCAUGGCGCCACCAUCGCAGGCGCAGCAAUGCCAAGUUAGCGCUCCGUGCUCGUCGUCAACUCAGCUACCGCCGCCUUCUGAAUUGCUGCCUUAAAAUUGGAUUUCUUGGUUUCUUUCAGCCGGCUGGAACGGCGCCGACAGGAGUGAGCGGGUUGCGCCCUGGUGGCCGCCGGCUCAGAAUCAAGGUUCCGUCGGCUUCUCAGAUACCGCCCCUUCCCGAGGAUCUCGCCUACCUCUUCACCAACGUUGAAUGUAGGUUCCCGCUUCCCAGGAAAUAUUCAUGUUUCUGUCAUUGGCUUAAGGUUCUUUGAUUGGUGAUGGAAGCUUGGCUUGGUUGUUUCUUGCAGUCUACAGCGAGGACGACGAGGAGGCCGGCGAGGAGGAGGAGGAGGAGGCCAUGUUGUUAUGGAGCAGCGAGGAGGAGGAGGAUGGGGAGACCAUGUCGUCAGGGAGCAGCGAGGGGGAGAGGGAAGAUGGGGAGGACAUGUCGUCAGGGCGCAGCGAGGAUGAUGAGGAAGAUGGGGAGGACAUGUCGUCAGGGCGCAGCGAGGAAAUGGAGGCCGGCCACGAGGAGAUGGAGGAGGAGGCCGGCCAGGACGAGAUGGAGCAGGAGGCCGGCGAGGAGGAGGCCAUGUUGUCAGGGCACAACGAAGAUGGUCAGGUGGACGUGGACGCCAUGCUGUAUUGCCAUGAAGCAUUUCUGUCACAGAGGGAGGAAGAGGAGGAGGAGCCUGAAGAAGUCCAGGCCAUGUGCGUGCGAUGCGACUCCCUGGAGAGGUUGGUGACGCUCUUACCGUGCAGGCACGCCUCCUACUGCGAACGCUGCUUCGCCAUCGUCGACCGCCGCCAGGGAGCUGGGCGGCUGUGCGCGGUUUGCUGGCAGCCCUAUGCGCGGGGGCACCCUCAGUCCGGAGGUCUGCAGCCCAAGCCGAAGAAGAGCUCCAAGUAAGGCAAGCGCCACUGUCGCCUGUUCGAACGUCGAACUCUGUUCCUGUUUCAGUUCGGGCAGUCUCCUGUUUCAUUCAUCUCGGGUGCCGUAACGGGUCGCCUGAAUCGAUCCCAGUUCUCAUUCUUUCGUGUUUGGUUGAUGGGGAACUAUACUUGCAGUUUCUCAUUGCUUGUAUGAUGCACAGUUCUGACCUGUGUUGGUACUCCAUCACUUGUGGAGUUAUGGUUGAUUGGUAACUGUAUAAACUUCUGUUCUAGCUUUUGAUGAAUGUAGAGCAAUUCUGAAUUUCUGAUGAUUUAUCUGCAAAUAAAUGCUAGCCAGUUCUGUCAUUUCAGUUUUGAUGGUCAGGUUUAAAUUGCUGUAAAUUGCUGCUUGCUGCCUGCUGAUGAUCAGGUUGAAGAACUUGAGUUUCAGUUUAAGCAAACAGAGCCAUUUUUAGCUUGGAGAUAUGAAUCAGAGAAAUUUUGUCGUGGCGAAUUAUACUUGCAGUUUUUCAUUUUUAUUUUUUUUGAGAACAUCCUUGCAGUUUUUCAUUGUGUGAAUGAUGCACAGUUCUCAUAUGUGAGUCCAUCACUUGUGGAGUUAUGGUUGAUUGGUAACUGUGUAAACUUCUGUUCUAGCUUUUGAUGAAUGCAGCCACUUCUGUCAUUUCAGUUCUGAUGGUUAGGUUAAAAUUGUUGCUUGCUGCCUGCUGACCAGGUGGAUCAUACGUACGAGUAUUUGAUUUUAUUGUUCAAUGAUUGAAGAACUGUAGUUUCAGUUUACGCAGACAGAGCCAUUUUUAGGUUGGAGAUAUGAAUCAGAGAAACAAGUUUGGCCAGAUUUAGGAAAUAGUACUGAUGCCCAGUUUUCAGUUCAGCCAAAAGGGACAGUCGAGGUUCGAGUUCAGUUCAGUACCCGUGUCCGGUUUGCAGUUCAGCCAAAAGGGACAGUUUAAUUUACUGGAUUUGACUGAAAUUCAGUUGAUUUUUGAGGGAUUUUGAAGAAAAAAUGAAGUAUUUUCGAAUUUGGCUCGAGUUAAGGUUUCACUAUUUUUUUACUAACUGUAAAUAUCUCGGUAUUAACGGAAAUCACCGGAAUUUCUGAUUCUCUUGAAUAAAGUUUCUUGCCAAAAGGGAACCCUGGUUCGGUCCAGUUCACCUUCCAGAAAGACAGGGCAACGUUCAGAGUUCAGUGAAAAUGGUGCCNNNNNNNNNNNNNNNNNNNNNNNNNNNNNNNNNNNNNNNNNNNNNNNNNNNNNNNNNNNNNNNNNNNNNNNNNNNNNNNNNNNNNNNNNNNNNNNNNNNNNNNNNNNNNNNNNNNNNNNNNNNNNNNNNNNNNNNNNNNNNNNNNNNNNNNNNNNNNNNNNNNNNNNNNNNNNNNNNNNNNNNNNNNNNNNNNNNNNNNNNNNNNNNNNNNNNNNNNNNNNNNNNNNNNNNNNNNNNNNNNNNNNNNNNNNNNNNNNNNNNNNNNNNNNNNNNNNNNNNNNNNNNNNNNNNNNNNNNNNNNNNNNNNNNNNNNNNNNNNNNNNNNNNNNNNNNNNNNNNNNNNNNNNNNNNNNNNNNNNNNNNNNNNNNNNNNNNNNNNNNNNNNNNNNNNNNNNNNNAGGCGACUCGGGGGUUACCCUAACCGCCACCGCCGCCACCCCUCCCUCCCCCUUCCCUACCCUCCGCCGCCGCCCGAGGUGCCCGCCGGCACGCGCGCGCGACACCGAUGAAGGUGGCGGCGGGGAUCUGGCGGCUUCACCUGCGUGGAGUGCCUAGGCAGCCGGGGCGGUGGCCCCGGAUCUGGCAAGGCGGCAGGCGCGCCCGCAGGUGUGGGUCUUCGUCCUCGGCCGCGUGGGCGGCGAACGACGGGGGACACGGUGCAUGGUCGGUGGGCUGCUCCGGUGGUCCUCUGACCUCAGAUCUGAAGGUUGUUUAUCCUCUUUCCUCUAGCCCGCUCACAACCUGUGCUAGCGCCGGUGCUUCUUUGCCGGUCUGUUGGUAGCUGGUUGCGGUGGUGUUCGUCGGGACCGGGAGAAAUCCCUGGUUGGUGUCUCCGACUACGGCGGUGGCCAGGCCCUCGGGCGCGGCUCCCCUUCUUGAAGGCACCGUCGAGAUCCCCUCUUCCCACCCCUUCCCCUCCGUUCCAAGGUUAAUUCCUGUAAUCCCUUGCGGAUUCGGCGGCGGCGGCGCUCGGCGUCGUAACCUCCCUGGGGGCGUCGUCUGGUUAGAAGGGUGUAGGUGUGUGGUGCUAGAUCCGAGGUUUGCAAUUGCAGCGGGGGUCCGUGUGACAACUUGGUUUCCAGCGAUGCCGGGCUUGCCUUUCUCUGUUUGGUGCUUGUUGGCCGUCCCCUGUUCGCCGGUGCUCGGCUCCCUUGAGCCUGGGUGGAAAAGGAAAGGGUUCCCCUUCCCGGCAACAGAGCCGUGGCAGCUCAAUGAGCACCAGGGCCAUAUCCCUCGCAUCCUGUGCAUGAUAUGUUUCCCUGUUGCUCGCCGCAAGCUCGAUGCUUCUUCAGUUCCGAUGUGCCGUUUCCUGCAGCUUACUCUCUUCUUGUUUGGACACCGGCGGUCUGUGCUUAUAUGCCCAGUGAGGUAUGCCCGCUGCUGCGACAUGGAUGCGAGCACAUGUUCUGUGUCUGCUACCCCAAGAUCGUGCCUUUCCUUGUUCUAGGGUGAACCCAUCCCUCGCUCGACGGUGCGGCGUCCUUCAAGCCAGGAGGAGGGGGUAGGGACCCUCUUCGGCGAGGGAGAAGGAAGGUGUGGUAUCUUUCUGGUCCAGUGCAGGAGUUUUUGGCGUGUUUGUGGCCAAGGCGGUAGGCAAUGCCAUUGUCGCUGUUGUUUCCUUGGGCGCCGGUGUUUCGAGCUUCAAGGGCAGUCCUUUCUUCAAGCGGUUGUUCAUCUCUAUCUAGUUUAGGUGCUUGUAGUUUGGGAUUGUGUUGUAAGCUGUAUCUUCAGCACCCAUGUAUCUUUGGGCCGCUCGUGUUUUAUUUUUUUUGUAAGUGGCGUUGGGCUGCUCUUGUUGGUUGUAAUACCUGGCCGGUUGAUGGCUUUGUUAAUUCAAAGCCGGGCUCAUCCUCGAGCCUUCGUUCUAAAAAAAAUAAAUCUGAUGAUUUAUAAGCAAAUAAGUGCUAGCCAGUUCUGGCAUUUCAGUUCUGAUGGUUAAGUUAAAAUUGCUGCUUGCUGCCUGCUGAUCAGGUGGGUCAAACGAGUAUUUGAUUUUAAUUUUCAAUGAUUGAAGAACUGUAGUUUCAGUGCCUAUUCGGCAAUCCACCACUCCGAGAAAUACGAGAAUCUGCGGAGCAUCUGUUUCUCCCCUCUGUUAUUUUCAACUGAAGCUUCGCCCGCUCUGGGAGCGGAGUCGUGGAGUGGAGACUCUGAACAGGCCCUCAGUUUAAGCAGACAGACACAUUUUGAGGUUGGAGAUAUGAAUCAGAGAAACUAGUUUGGCCAGAUUUAGAAAAUAGUACUCGUAUCCGGUUUUCAGUUCAGCCAAAAGGGACAGUUUUAUUUACUGGAUUUGAUUGAAAUUCAAUCGAUUUUUGAGGAAUUUUGACGGAAAAACGAAGUGUUUUCGAAUUUGUCUCGAGUUGAGGUUUCACUAAAUGUAAAUACCUCGGUACUAACGGAAAUCACAGGAAUUUCUGAUUCUCUUCAAUAAAGUUUCUGGGCAAAAGAGAACCCUGGUUCAGUAUAGUUCAGCAUCCA
This 35628-nucleotide long non-coding RNA is filed under the name Triticum aestivum (bread wheat). RNAcentral's name for it is "long non-coding RNA (TAES_LNC024628)". Lineage: Eukaryota; Viridiplantae; Streptophyta; Magnoliopsida; Poales; Poaceae. The record is from RNAcentral.